GACAGAGGGUGCAAACGUUGCUCGGAUUUACUGGGCGUAAAGCGCAUGUAGGCGGGCGAUUAAGUCGGGUGUGAAAUCCCUGGGCUCAACCUAGGAACUGCAUCCGAAACUGAUCACCUUGAGUAGUGGAGAGGAAAGCGGAAUUCCGGGUGUAGAGGUGAAAUUCGUAGAUAUCCGGAGGAACACCAGUGGCGAAGGCGGCUUUCUGGACACUAACUGACGCUGAGAUGCGAAAGCGUGGGGAGCAAACAGGAUUAGAAACCCCAGUAGUCC
Molecule: ribosomal RNA, 273 nt
Filed under: uncultured bacterium
Lineage: Bacteria
Description: partial 16S ribosomal RNA
Rfam family: Bacterial small subunit ribosomal RNA
Source: RNAcentral